UCAGGCCUAACACAUGCAAGUCGAGCGAUGAAGCACCUUCGGGUGUGGAUUAGCGGCGAACGGGUGAGGAACACGUGAGGAAUCUGCCUUCCACUCUGGGAUAACUCCGGGAAACCGGGGCUAAUACCGGAUACUUUCAACUGGCGGCAUCGCCGGUUGAAGAAAGUUUUUCGGUGGAAGAUGACCUCGCGGCCUAUCAGCUUGUUGGUGAGGUAAUGGCUCACCAAGGCGACGACGGGUAGCCGGCCUGAGAGGGCGACCGGCCACACUGGGACUGAGACACGGCCCAGACUCCUACGGGAGGCAGCAGUGGGGAAUAUUGGGCGAUGGAGGAAACUCUGACCCAGCGACGCCGCGUGAGGGAUGAAGGCCUUCGGGUUGUAAACCUCUUCAGCAGGGAAUAAGGAAAGGAA
RNAcentral lists this ribosomal RNA (413 nucleotides) under uncultured bacterium. RNAcentral describes it as "bacterial SSU rRNA". It matches the Rfam family "Bacterial small subunit ribosomal RNA", at positions 42 to 457 of the family's 1533-position model. The record is from RNAcentral.